UAUGGCAGACUAGUGCAAUGGAUUUAAACUCCCUUUAUAAAGAAACAAUUCUUUUAUUAAAA
RNAcentral lists this transfer RNA (62 nucleotides) under Temnothorax cf. fuscatus CASENT0732587. Its description in RNAcentral is "tRNA-Leu". The record is from RNAcentral. Lineage: Eukaryota; Metazoa; Arthropoda; Insecta; Hymenoptera; Formicidae.